Alligator mississippiensis (American alligator) is the source of this 501-nucleotide long non-coding RNA. RefSeq lists it as uncharacterized. NCBI's taxonomy places the organism in Eukaryota, Metazoa, Chordata, Crocodylia, Alligatoridae. The transcript is spliced from 3 exons. The record is from RefSeq and is a predicted model, not a curated record.
UUGGAGAGCUCUGUUAUAAGAGCAGAGCAGUUUGUAUUCAGCUGCCUGGGGAGUAAUGUCACUCAGAGGAGCUCCUGCUCCAGGAAUAUCUUGGAGACAAUGGAUAACCUGAAGAAGAACCCAAGGCAGCAGUGCAGACACAAACAUCAAACCCAUGUUGAAUGAUGUGGAGACAGAUCUGCAGAGUGACUUUGUAUUUAAGGAAGUGGUUAUCAUAAAUUGAAACCUUUGACCAGUUAUUGGCAGCAAAGUGUUUUUCAUUUUUGCUCUCGUAAAUCCUCCAACAUUGAGGUUACAUGUUAUCUUCCCCAGUCUCCGAUACUGGGAUCACAAAGUUGAACAAUCUGAAUCAACAGAAUGUUCCAUGGCACUUUGAGCAUCAGCACAGCUGAGAAAGAACUGGCUGCCGCUGAACAAUGGGAACAACAAAACAUCCUCUUUCUUCUGUUUAUACUUGCUGUUUUCCUCGUAACCCAAUGAGAGGCAGAAAACUGGACUAUA